This 497-nucleotide ribosomal RNA is filed under the name uncultured bacterium. RNAcentral's name for it is "partial 16S ribosomal RNA". It matches the Rfam family "Bacterial small subunit ribosomal RNA", at positions 28 to 507 of the family's 1533-position model. The record is from RNAcentral.
GAUGAACGCUGGCGGCGUGCCUAAUACAUGCAAGUCGAGCGAACGGACGAGAAGCUUGCUUCUCUGAUGUUAGCGGCGGACGGGUGAGUAACACGUGGAUAACCUACCUAUAAGACUGGGAUAACUUCGGGAAACCGGAGCUAAUACCGGAUAAUAUUUUGAACCGCAUGGUUCAAAAGUGAAAGACGGUCUUGCUGUCACUUAUAGAUGGAUCCGCGCUGCAUUAGCUAGUUGGUAAGGUAACGGCUUACCAAGGCAACGAUGCAUAGCCGACCUGAGGGGGUGAUCGGCCACACUGGAACUGAGACACGGUCCAGACUCCUACGGGAGGCAGCAGUAGGGAAUCUUCCGCAAUGGGCGAAAGCCUGACGGAGCAACGCCGCGUGAGUGAUGAAGGUCUUCGGAUUGUAAAACUCUGUUAUUAGGGAAGAACAUAUGUGUAAGUAACUGUGCACAUCUUGACGGUACCUAAUCAGAAAGCCACGGCUAACUACGUG